This 346-nucleotide ribosomal RNA is filed under the name uncultured bacterium. RNAcentral describes it as "bacterial SSU rRNA". It matches the Rfam family "Bacterial small subunit ribosomal RNA", at positions 565 to 913 of the family's 1533-position model. The record is from RNAcentral.
GGGUGCGUAGGCGGUUCUAUAAGUCAGUGGUGAAAUACGGCAGCUUAACUGUCGAGGUGCCAUUGAUACUGUAGAACUUGAGUAUAGACGAGGUAGGCGGAAUUGACGGUGUAGCGGUGAAAUGCUUAGAUAUCGUCAAGAACACCGAUAGCGAAGGCAGCUUACUAGACUAAAACUGACGCUGAGGCACGAAAGUGUGGGGAUCAAACAGGAUUAGAUACCCUGGUAGUCCACACUGUAAACGAUGAUUACUCGAUGUUGGCGAUACACAGCCAGCGUCUUAGCAAAAGCGAUAAGUAAUCCACCUGGGGAGUACGCCGGCAACGGUGAAACUCAAAGGAAUUGA